This 371-nucleotide ribosomal RNA is filed under the name uncultured bacterium. RNAcentral describes it as "bacterial SSU rRNA". It matches the Rfam family "Bacterial small subunit ribosomal RNA", at positions 525 to 896 of the family's 1533-position model. The record is from RNAcentral.
ACGUAGGGUGCGAGCGUUAAUCGGAAUUACUGGGCGUAAAGCGUGCGCAGGUGGCUGUCCAAGCCAGAUGUGAAAUCCCCGGGCUCAACCUGGGAAUGGCAUUUGGGACUGGUCGGCUAGAGUGCGGCAGAGGGAGCUGGAAUUCCUGGUGUAGCAGUGAAAUGCGUAGAGAUCAGGAGGAACACCAAUGGCGAAGGCAGGCUCCUGGGCUAGCACUGACACUCAUGCACGAAAGCGUGGGGAGCAAACAGGAUUAGAUACCCUGGUAGUCCACGCCCUAAACGAUGGCAACUAGUUGUUGGGGGAGCAAUCCCUUAGUAACGAAGCUAACGCGUGAAGUUGCCCGCCUGGGGAGUACGGUCGCAAGAUUA